RNAcentral lists this ribosomal RNA (253 nucleotides) under uncultured bacterium. RNAcentral's name for it is "partial 16S ribosomal RNA". It matches the Rfam family "Bacterial small subunit ribosomal RNA", at positions 524 to 776 of the family's 1533-position model. The record is from RNAcentral.
UACGUAGGGGGCAAGCGUUGUCCGGAUUUAUUGGGCGUAAAGAGCGUGUAGGCGGUUUGGUAGGUCCGCUGUGAAAACUCGAGGCUCAACUUCGAGACGCCGGUGGAAACCAUCAGACUAGAGUCCGGAAGAGGAGAGUGGAAUUCCUGGUGUAGCGGUGAAAUGCGUAGAUAUCAGGAGGAACACCUGCGGUGUAGACGGCUUUCUGGACCAUUGCUGACGCUGAGACACGAAAGCGUGGGUAGCAAACAGG